Molecule: ribosomal RNA, 856 nt
Filed under: uncultured archaeon
Lineage: Archaea
Description: SSU rRNA
Rfam family: Archaeal small subunit ribosomal RNA
Source: RNAcentral
UACCAGCUCUCCGAGUGGUGUGGAUGUUUAUUGGGCCUAAAGCAUCCGUAGCUGGCCAAGUUAGUCCCCUGUUAAACCCACCGAAUUAAUCGUUGGCGUGCGGGGGAUACUGCUCGGCUAGGGGACGGGAGAGGCAGACGGUAUUUUCGGGGUAGGGGUGAAAUCCUAUAAUCCCGGGAAGACCACCAGUGGCGAAGGCUGUCUGCUAGAACGCGCCCGACGGUGAGGGAUGAAAGCUGGGGGAGCGAACCGGAUUAGAUACCCGGGUAGUCCCAGCUGUAAACGAUGCAGGCUAGGUGUUUGGACGGCCAUGUGCCGUUCUAGUGCCGCAGGGAGGCUGUUAAGCCUGCCGCCUGGGGAGUACGGUCGCAAGAUUGAAACUUAAAGGAAUUGGCGGGGGAGCACCACAAGGGGUGAAGCUUGCGGUUUAAUUGGAGUCAACGCCGGAAAUCUCACCGGGAGCGACAGCAGUUUGAAGGCCAGAUUAAAGGUCUUGCCAGACGAGCUGAGAGGAGGUGCAUGGCCGUCGCCAGUUCGUGCCGUGAGGUGUCCUGUUAAGUCAGGCAACGAUCGAGACCCGCGUCCUCUGUUGCAACCAGUCUUGAGCUGGGCACACUGAGGAGACCGCCGCUGAUAAAGCGGAGGAAGGAGCGGGCCACGGCAGGUCAGUAUGCCCCGAAUCUCCCGGGCCACACGCGAGCUGCAAUGGCAGGUACAAUGGGUUCCGACCUCGUAAGGGGAAGGCAAUCUCGAAAGCCUGCCGUAGUUGGGAUUGAGGGUUGUAACCCAUCCUCAUGAACAUGGAAUCCCUAGUAAUCGCGUGUCAUCAGCGCGCGGUGAAUACGUCCCUGCUCCU